CGUAUGCCAGCUGCGCGCGCAUUCAAAAAGCGGCUAGCUCCAAACAAUUCUAUAAAUAUUUUUCAUGCCAAAUAUUUGACAUAUAAACUGCAAUAAAUAAUUUCAGCUAAAAAUAUUUGUUAAUCUCUGGCUGCUACGUUUGUAGAAUGACUAAGAGUUAUUGAUACGACCGCUGAUAAUUUUGCAUAAAUUCGAAUGCUUUUUGAAUGUGUAAACAGUCUUUCAUCACCGCUGAAGCGUACAGACGUCUGAAAUCCGUUCUGAAAAUACUGGUAAGUUUUAUGUUCUGCUAAUUUAAAUCUGAGCGUAUGCUUUGUCAUUUUUUAACUUCCAAUACAAUUUUUGGACCCAGUCCAGAUUUUCGUAAUCAUUCCAGGACUAACAUUUUUAUUUGGUGUUUGCUUUUAGAUUUUUUCCUGGGACCGUUGAGAGAAAAAAAGAGAGAGAAAGAUAAUAAUGGAUUCAUCAAGCAAAACUCCACAGAAUAAGAGUUCAACUUCGUAUGAAAAAUCCUCUCCGAUGUUAUUGAAGUACUUAGUCACCGAACCCAAAAAUUACUGGAAAAUUAACAAUAAUCAAAACCUUGAUCAUGAACCGUCCCCCCCCCACCCCCCCCCCGAAAAGAAGGAAAGAAGCAAAUGGUGGGCCGUCGACUAAGUAAAAUUAUUUAAAAUCGUUAAUAAAUUUCAGUUAUAUUACAGGUAGUAUCAUUUAAAACCUUUUCUAAUCUUUGUUGAAUAAAGCGAAUAAUGUCUUUUACAGACAUUUAAUGUGUGAAUUCAUACAUUGUCCUCAUUUUGUUAAAUCAGGGCAAAAAAACUAGUACAUACACAAAAUAACAGACCUAUCAUAACGGUGCUAAUAAAGUGUGCUACUAACCUGUUUUU
This is a long non-coding RNA of Cydia pomonella (codling moth), 887 nucleotides long. RefSeq lists it as uncharacterized. The record is from RefSeq and is a predicted model, not a curated record. Lineage: Eukaryota; Metazoa; Arthropoda; Insecta; Lepidoptera; Tortricidae. The transcript has 2 exons.